Molecule: long non-coding RNA, 660 nt
Filed under: Rattus norvegicus (Norway rat)
Lineage: Eukaryota; Metazoa; Chordata; Mammalia; Rodentia; Muridae
Description: long non-coding RNA NONRATT010260
Source: RNAcentral
CAAGCAGGCUGAAAAGAUUGUUUUAGAUACAUUUGUACUGUAGUUCCAUUUGUAAUCUAAUAUGCACAGCACUUGCUUACCCACCAGCCCUCCUCCUUAGCCACAUCAAGUGCUUUUGCAAUAAGGUCUCUACGGGCUUGACUUAAAAGGUUGGAUGGCUCUGAUGUCUCUGGUUCAUUUGAAGAGCAUCACAAGCUAAAUCCUGAUAGUCCCUAAACCAAACAGCCCGCUGGUCUUUAGUUCCAAAUGAGAAAAGUGACCCUUAACUAAAUAGUCUUUUUUUUUUUUUUUAAGGGCUUACCUGUUGCUUUAGACAAACAUAUUCUUGGCUUUGACACAGGCGAUGCAGUUCUUAAUGAAGCUGCUCAGAUCCUGCGGUUGCUACACAUAGAAGAGCUCAGAGAGCUACAGACGAAAAUUAAUGAAGCCAUAGUAGCCGUUCAGGCCAUCAUUGCUGAUCCAAAGACAGACCACAGACUGGGGAAAGUUGGGAGAUGAGCACAUGAGGGUUUCAGCUUCUCACCUUAGUGAUGGGAACUGUCACACCAGCAUGUGCUUGGAAAUCAAAUGUCACACUUUGAAGGGAGGAGUCCCAGGAGAUUGACCAUGUCCUAGAGAUUUACCACCACUGCUUUUUUUCUUUAAUAAAGUUGGGGAAGU